Molecule: ribosomal RNA, 253 nt
Filed under: uncultured bacterium
Lineage: Bacteria
Also listed under: 1 other name
Description: partial 16S ribosomal RNA
Rfam family: Bacterial small subunit ribosomal RNA
Source: RNAcentral
UACGUAGGUGGCAAGCGUUGUCCGGAUUUACUGGGCGUAAAGGAUGCGUAGGUGGAUAUUUAAGUCAGAUGUGAAAUACCCGAGCUUAACUUGGGUGCUGCAUUUGAAACUGGAUAUCUAGAGUGCAGGAGAGGUAAGUGGAAUUCCUAGUGUAGCGGUGAAAUGCGUAGAGAUUAGGAAGAACACCAGUGGCGAAGGCGACUUACUGGACUGUAACUGACACUGAGGCAUGAAAGCGUGGGGAGCAAACAGG